This 765-nucleotide ribosomal RNA is filed under the name uncultured bacterium. RNAcentral's name for it is "bacterial SSU rRNA". It matches the Rfam family "Bacterial small subunit ribosomal RNA", at positions 93 to 844 of the family's 1533-position model. The record is from RNAcentral.
GAGUGGCGAACGGGUGAGUAACACGUGGGUAACCUGCCCAUCAGAAGGGGAUAACACUUGGAAACAGGUGCUAAUACCGUAUAACACUAUUUUCCGCAUGGAAGAAAGUUGAAAGGCGCUUUUGCGUCACUGAUGGAUGGACCCGCGGUGCAUUAGCUAGUUGGUGAGGUAACGGCUCACCAAGGCCACGAUGCAUAGCCGACCUGAGAGGGUGAUCGGCCACACUGGGACUGAGACACGGCCCAGACUCCUACGGGAGGCAGCAGUAGGGAAUCUUCGGCAAUGGACGAAAGUCUGACCGAGCAACGCCGCGUGAGUGAAGAAGGUUUUCGGAUCGUAAAACUCUGUUGUUAGAGAAGAACAAGGAUGAGAGUAAAAUGUUCAUCCCUUGACGGUAUCUAACCAGAAAGCCACGGCUAACUACGUGCCAGCAGCCGCGGUAAUACGUAGGUGGCAAGCGUUGUCCGGAUUUAUUGGGCGUAAAGCGAGCGCAGGCGGUUUCUUAAGUCUGAUGUGAAAGCCCCCGGCUCAACCGGGGAGGGUCAUUGGAAACUGGGAGACUUGAGUGCAGAAGAGGAGAGUGGAAUUCCAUGUGUAGCGGUGAAAUGCGUAGAUAUAUGGAGGAACACCAGUGGCGAAGGCGGCUCUCUGGUCUGUAACUGACGCUGAGGCUCGAAAGCGUGGGGAGCGAACAGGAUUAGAUACCCUGGUAGUCCACGCCGUAAACGAUGAGUGCUAAGUGUUGGAGGGUUUCCGCCCUUCAGU